GACGAACGCUGGCGGCGUGCCUAAUACAUGCAAGUGGGACGCAAGGAAACACACUGUGCUUGCACACCGUGUUUUCUUGAGUCGCGAACGGGUGAGUAACGCGUAGGUAACCUGCCUAUUAGCGGGGGAUAACUAUUGGAAACGAUAGCUAAUACCGCAUAAUAUUAAUUAUUGCAUGAUAAUUGAUUGAAAGAUGCAAGCGCAUCACUAGUAGAUGGACCUGCGCUGUAUUAGCUAGUUGGUAAGGUAAGAGCUUACCAAGGCGACGAUACAUAGCCGACCUGAGAGGGUGAUCGGCCACACUGGGACUGAGACACGGCCCAGACUCCUACGGGAGGCAGCAGUAGGGAAUCUUCGGCAAUGGACGAAAGUCUGACCGAGCAACGCCGCGUGAGUGAAGAAGGUUUUCGGAUCGUAAAGCUCUGUUGUAAGUCAAGAACGUGUGUGAGAGUGGAAAGUUCACACAGUGACGGUAGCUUACCAGAAAGGGACGGCUAACUACGUG
RNAcentral lists this ribosomal RNA (505 nucleotides) under uncultured bacterium. RNAcentral's name for it is "partial 16S ribosomal RNA". It matches the Rfam family "Bacterial small subunit ribosomal RNA", at positions 28 to 507 of the family's 1533-position model. The record is from RNAcentral.